Molecule: ribosomal RNA, 606 nt
Filed under: Uroxys sp. dgi2
Lineage: Eukaryota; Metazoa; Arthropoda; Insecta; Coleoptera; Scarabaeidae
Description: eukaryotic LSU rRNA
Rfam family: Eukaryotic large subunit ribosomal RNA
Source: RNAcentral
GAGUCAUUGGGACUUGCGAUAAACCUAAAGGCGCAAUGAAAGUGAAGGUCCGCCUCGCGCGGACCGAGGGAGGAUGGGUAGGCCCGAGAGCCCGCCCCGCACUCCCGGGGCGUCUCGUCCUCAUCGCGAGGAGAGGCGCACCCAGAGCGUACACGCUGGGACCCGAAAGAUGGUGAACUAUGCCUGGUCAGGACGAAGUCAGGGGAAACCCUGAUGGAGGUCCGUAGCGAUUCUGACGUGCAAAUCGAUCGUCGGAACUGGGUAUAGGGGCGAAAGACUAAUCGAACCUUCUAGUAGCUGGUUCCCUCCGAAGUUUCCCUCAGGAUAGCUGGCGCUCGCCUUGCGAGUCUCAUUCGGUAAAGCGAAUGAUUAGAGGCAUUGGGGUCGAAACGGCCUCAACCUAUUCUCAAACUUUAAAUGGGUGAGAUCUCCGGCUUGCUUGAAGCAUGAAGCCGCGAGAGAUCGGAUCACAGAGUGCCAAGUGGGCCACUUUUGGUAAGCAGAACUGGCGCUGUGGGAUGAACCAAACGCAGAGUUAAAGCGCCAAAAUCGACGCUUAUGGGAUACCAUGAAAGGCGUUGGUAACUUAAGACAGCAGGACGGUGG